Molecule: ribosomal RNA, 424 nt
Filed under: uncultured prokaryote
Description: bacterial SSU rRNA
Rfam family: Bacterial small subunit ribosomal RNA
Source: RNAcentral
UGGGGAAUAUUGGACAAUGGGGGAAACCCUGAUCCAGCCAUGCCGCGUGAGUGAUGAAGGCCCUAGGGUUGUAAAGCUCUUUUACCCGGGAAGAUAAUGACUGUACCGGGAGAAUAAGCUCCGGCUAACUCCGUGCCAGCAGCCGCGGUAAUACGGAGGGAGCUAGCGUUGUUCGGAAUCACUGGGCGUAAAGCGCGCGUAGGCGGCUUUUCAAGUCAGAGGUGAAAUCCCGGGGCUUAACCCCGGAACUGCCUUUGAAACUGGAAAGCUAGAAUCUUGGAGAGGUGAGUGGAAUUCCGAGUGUAGAGGUGAAAUUCGUAGAUAUUCGGAAGAACACCAGUGGCGAAGGCGACUCACUGGACAAGUAUUGACGCUGAGGUGCGAAAGCGUGGGGAGCAAACAGGAUUAGAUACCCCCGUAGUCC